UCCCGGUUGGCCAAGUGGUUUAAGGCAUCGCUCUUAUGUGGGUAACUGCCGUCAAUGAAGAUCUAUCUUCUUGAUGCUUAGCGAGGGUCGUGAGUUCAAACCUCACACUGGGAA
RNAcentral lists this transfer RNA (114 nucleotides) under Kwoniella dejecticola CBS 10117. It matches the Rfam family "tRNA". From Rfam's summary of the family: Transfer RNA (tRNA) molecules are approximately 80 nucleotides in length. Their secondary structure includes four short double-helical elements and three loops (D, anti-codon, and T loops). Further hydrogen bonds mediate the characteristic L-shaped molecular structure. tRNAs have two regions of fundamental functional importance: the anti-codon, which is responsible for specific mRNA codon recognition, and the 3' end, to which the tRNAs corresponding amino acid is attached (by aminoacyl-tRNA synthetases). tRNAs cope with the degeneracy of the genetic code in two manners: having more than one tRNA (with a specific anti-codon) for a particular amino acid; and 'wobble' base-pairing, i.e. permitting non-standard base-pairing at the 3rd anti-codon position. The record is from Rfam by way of RNAcentral. Lineage: Eukaryota; Fungi; Basidiomycota; Tremellomycetes; Tremellales; Cryptococcaceae.